UGGGGAAUUUUCCGCAAUGGGCGAAAGCCUGACGGAGGCAAUGCCGCGUGGAGGUGGAAGGCCUACGGGUCGUCAACUUCUUUUCUCGGAGAAGAAACAAUGACGGUAUCUGAGGAAUAAGCAUCGGCUAACUCUGUGCCAG
RNAcentral lists this ribosomal RNA (142 nucleotides) under uncultured bacterium. RNAcentral's name for it is "partial 16S rRNA". It matches the Rfam family "Bacterial small subunit ribosomal RNA", at positions 355 to 511 of the family's 1533-position model. The record is from RNAcentral.